CCUUUGAUGGCCGAGGAUAUUAGGCAUUAAGCUUUUAACUUAACUACAGUUCUAGACUUCAAAGGC
RNAcentral lists this transfer RNA (66 nucleotides) under Unio pictorum (painter's mussel). RNAcentral describes it as "tRNA-Lys". Lineage: Eukaryota; Metazoa; Mollusca; Bivalvia; Unionida; Unionidae. The record is from RNAcentral.